GGUUCCACCGCCAUGAGUGGAUGAGGACAACGUCCCCGAUGAUGGACGGCUCCCUUCGGUGAGACCUUCGAGUCACUUCCGUUUCAUUUGAGGACUACGGCGGAGAAAACCAAUGGGCUUUUCAGAUUUUUUUAUUUUUUUAUUUUUUGUUGAGUUUUGGGAAGUAUUUACCCUCGAUUCGGGCCUAGGGAACCGAAACGGCUAAAAAAAGGGUCGUUCGUGGAUUCUGGCCCCGGGAAUGGCAUAACCGUAGCCAGCGACCAAUGGCUGUCGUGGCGGAGACUCGUCGGGACCAAGGGCGGAUUGGGGGAGGGCCGAGGGAAAAAAAAGGGGCUGAUAGUGUUUUUUAUUUUUUUGAAAACGGAUGAAAAUGAUUUUUUUUCCUUAACUUUUUUACUUAUAUAAUCCUAUAAAAUGGCGUCGUUUUGGGCUUAAGUUUUAGACUCCAAAACGACGUCGUUUUGAAGCGUGACCUGAAAACUAACCCCAUGUGCCCUAGGAUCCACUUGUUUUCGCGGCAAGGGUCUAUUUCGACC
This 536-nucleotide long non-coding RNA is filed under the name Gossypium raimondii (Peruvian cotton). RNAcentral's name for it is "long non-coding RNA (GRAI_LNC005312)". Lineage: Eukaryota; Viridiplantae; Streptophyta; Magnoliopsida; Malvales; Malvaceae. The record is from RNAcentral.